This 253-nucleotide ribosomal RNA is filed under the name uncultured bacterium. Its description in RNAcentral is "partial 16S ribosomal RNA". It matches the Rfam family "Bacterial small subunit ribosomal RNA", at positions 524 to 776 of the family's 1533-position model. The record is from RNAcentral.
UACGGAGGGAGCUAGCGUUGUUCGGAAUUACUGGGCGUAAAGCGCGCGUAGGCGGCUUUGUAAGUUAGAGGUGAAAGCCCGGGGCUCAACUCCGGAACUGCCUUUAAGACUGCAUCGCUAGAAUCCGGGAGAGGUGAGUGGAAUUCCGAGUGUAGAGGUGAAAUUCGUAGAUAUUCGGAAGAACACCAGUGGCGAAGGCGACUCACUGGACACAUAUUGACGCUGAGGUGCGAAAGCGUGGGGAGCAAACAGG